This 415-nucleotide ribosomal RNA is filed under the name uncultured microorganism. RNAcentral's name for it is "bacterial SSU rRNA". It matches the Rfam family "Archaeal small subunit ribosomal RNA", at positions 330 to 745 of the family's 1478-position model. The record is from RNAcentral.
GCGCACCAGGCGAGAAACCUCCGCAAUACACGAAAGUGUGACGGGGCCAUCCCGAGUGCCGUCCGCUGAGGACGGCUUUUCCCCGGUGUACAUAGCUGGGGGAAUAAGGAGAGGGCAAGCCUGGUGUCAGCCGCCGCGGUAAUACCAGCUCUCCGAGUGGUGGGGACGCUUAUUGGGCCUAAAGCAUCCGUAGCCGGCUGGGCAAGUCCUCCGUUAAAUCCAACGAUUCAAUCGUUGGGCUGCGGGGGAUACUGUCCAGCUUGGGGGCGGGAGAGGCCGACGGUAUUCCCCGGGGUAGGGGUGAAAUCCUAUAAUCCCGGGAGGACCACCAGUGGCGAAGGCUGUCGGCUAGAACGCGCCCGACGGUGAGGGGAUGAAAGCUGGGGGAGCGAACCGGAUUAGAUACCCCUGUAGU